CCUACGGGAGGCAGCAGUAGGGAAUCUUUCACAAUGGGCGAAAGCCUGAUGGAGCAACGCCGCGUGCAGGAUGAAGGCCUUCGGGUUGUAAACUGAUUUUAUAAGCGAGAAAUAUGAUGGUAACUUAUGAAUAAGGAUCGGCUAACUACGUGCCAGCAGCCGCGGUCAUACGUAGGAUCCGAGCAUUAUCCGGAGUGACUGGGUGUAAAGAGUUGCGUAGGUGGCAUAAUAAGUAGCUAGGGAAAUCUGGUGGCUCAACCAUACAGACUAUUAGCUAAACUGUUAAGCUCGAGACCGUUAGGGGUAACUGGAAUUUCUGGUGUAGGAGUGAAAUCCGUAGAUAUUAGAAGGAACACCAAUAGCGUAGGCAGGUUGCUGGGACGGUUCUGACACUAAGGCACGAAAGCGUAGGGAGCAAACGGGAUUAGAUACCCCAGUAGUC
This 442-nucleotide ribosomal RNA is filed under the name uncultured bacterium. RNAcentral's name for it is "partial 16S ribosomal RNA". It matches the Rfam family "Bacterial small subunit ribosomal RNA", at positions 338 to 795 of the family's 1533-position model. The record is from RNAcentral.